This 809-nucleotide ribosomal RNA is filed under the name uncultured bacterium. RNAcentral's name for it is "bacterial SSU rRNA". It matches the Rfam family "Bacterial small subunit ribosomal RNA", at positions 585 to 1401 of the family's 1533-position model. The record is from RNAcentral.
AAGUCUGGAGUGAAACGUAUGAGCUCAACUCAUGCAUGGCUCUGGAAACUGGAGGACUGGAGAGCAGGAGAGGGCGGUGGAACUCCAUGUGUAGCGGUAAAAUGCGUAGAUAUAUGGAAGAACACCAGUGGCGAAGGCGGCCGCCUGGCCUGUUGCUGACGCUGAGGCACGAAAGCGUGGGGAGCAAAUAGGAUUAGAUACCCUAGUAGUCCACGCCGUAAACGAUGAGGACCAAGUGUUGGGGGUGAAACCUCAGUGCUGAAGUUAACGCAGUGAGUCCUCCGCCUGGGGAGUAUGCACGCAAGUGUGAAACUCAAAGGAAUUGACGGGGGCCCGCACAAGCGGUGGAGUAUGUGGUUUAAUUCGAAGCAACGCGAAGAACCUUACCAGGCCUUGACAUGGGAUGCGAAGACGCAGAGAUGCGUUGGAGGUCAACAUCCACACAGGUGGUGCAUGGUUGUCGUCAGCUCGUGUCGUGAGAUGUUGGGUCAAGUCCCGCAACGAGCGCAACCCUUGUGGCAUGUUGCUAACAGGAAAGCUGAGGACUCAUGCCAGACUGCCGGUGACAAACCGGAGGAAGGCGGGGAUGACGUCAAAUCAUCAUGCCCCUUAUGGCCUGGGCUACACACGUACUACAAUGGCGGCUACAAAGAGCGGCGAGACAGUAAUGUCGAGCGAAUCUCAUAAAAGCCGUCCCAGUUCGGAUUGGAGCCUGCAACCCGGCUCCAUGAAGUUGGAAUCACUAGUAAUCGCGGAUCAGCAUGCCGCGGUGAAUACGUUCCCGGGCCUUGCACACACCGCCCGUCAAG